AUCAUCUGGGGAGGCAAAAGCGACCCUAAACCGCGCCGCAGCACUGAGAAACCCGAGGGGAGCAGGAGCAGGCGGACCCCGCGCCCCCCUCCCGUUCCCUGCCCGGCGGGACUCGGCUGCCGCCGGAGCUCUUCGAUGAAACUUCUGCUCGCAUCAUCUAAGGCCUGAAAAUGAUACAGCUUAUUAAUAAAAGCUGUAGAAAUGCAGUUACAUAUGAGAACAGGCUCUGCCUGAGCUCCGGACACCCUCGAGGGCUCUCCAAGCAGUACCGUAGCAUGGAGUUGCCACUCAACAUCUCCCUCUUCACCUGCUGACUGCAGGGACUUCUCUCCGUAAUUUUGGGCUGGUUCAGCUUUAUUCAGCUCAAGGUAACAUCGGCCAAUUUCAUGGAACAGCCAGGUCUUCUCCAGGCUCGACUUUGCCAUUGGAAUCUUCUCUUCCCAGCUUCAAGCAGAGAGUAAGAAAGGCAGACGCUUACUGAAUCACUAGGUGCAGUUAUAGUUUCAACCACUGAUUCUAUUGAACCACUGAAACAAAGCGGUCCAGGUACUGUUGUUAUGAAAAAUUUCCCAGCCCCGCCCUUGCUAGCAGCAUGAAUAACCAAACCGUAAAGACCUCAUCUAUUUAAAUCGAAACACCCCUUAUGCCUUUUCUGUUACUACUUUUACAUACGUGUCAAUAGCUUGCUGGAAUUUGCCCAUUCUGGCAUAAACUCUGCCAAUGUUAUCGAGGGCCCGGGAUACGGUGUCCGGCAGGUCGCUGCAUUGAAAAGAAAAAGAACUCAUAGUAGCUGACAUAGUCUUGUUCCCGAUACAGUCUACGCUUCCUUCAGCUUUAUAGAUUUUCUUUGGCGUUCCACUUGACUUCAGGCUUGAGAAUUAGAGGAAAAGGACCAAUUUCAGACUGGAAGUCAUAAAAUCAAGGUAGAUUUCUGGUUUUAUUUACAGCUGUUGCAACUGUAAGACACGGGAAAAAGGGUUUCGUUUAUCUUUGAUUUUUUGUGUGCGUGUGCAAAUCUGGCAGCCCUUGUGAAAGGCUUUCCAUUUUUCUUCAAUUUCCCUUUGUUGCGUUGUGGGUCACGCAGAAGUCCCCUACAGCUCCUAGGUCCCUAAGAGUAAUAGAUGAUUUCUGUCCAAGAGGAAUGCAAAGACCCAAAAAAGCCGCGUCUGCGAUGUGUCUACAGACUCCUACAGCAGACCCCGGUAGCAGGCCCUGCGCCCAGUGCUGUGACGAGUCUUUGCCCCACGCUAGAGGCAACUCCUUCUGAAAUUAUGUAGCCUGUGGACUUUUUGUCCUUAAUUAGGCCUCAUUCCCACCUUCAGAAGCGGCUUGCUUUGACUACCCUUUCCUUACAAAUGAAAAAGCUGAUGAAAGGAGAGGCUAAGCGGCACAAGUCAUUACACCGUCUCCUCUCGCCCUGCUGAUCGCCCGCCACCAGAGGACAAGGCCCCCGCCAUCGCUGCGUGUCCGCCCUUUGAACGCAACUUCAUGUCCCUGUAAGAAAGCACUAAAACUUGUGCCUCGUUCCUGCCUCUCUACUGCUGUUUUGGCGUAGGUGGGGAGUGGGGCUCACCAGGAGAGAGGCAGAAAUUACUUAAACCAAUACUAAUUUUUAGAAGAGAUUUGUGAAAACGAUAAACAAUUAGUCAGUUACAUUCUAAAAGGCCUAUGUAGUAUUGGCAAAAAUAAACCCAAAAUCACUUCAAUUCAAGCAACUAUUCAGUGUUUUCUCACAUGCUUUGCAAAACUCUUACUAAAUCUUAAAACUACAUUUUGCUUCAUUCUGGUUUAGCUGAAAGAGCUGCAGGAUGAGUUCUGUACAGGCAGGUAACUGUUCCUCUUAGCUACAGAUUUCAAGCCUGCUGUCAUGGUUUGAAUGCAAAUUAUUUUAAGAGAGAGUGUAGCAGAAAACGUGUGCAAUUUAGAGCCUGACCUUCUCGAGAAGUAAGGGUGUACUAGGGGCUAAAGUGCUGAGACUGGGACUUGCAUGCUCCUGCUUUGCUUCAGCAGAGAUUUAGCUGUGCCAUGUGCUCUAGGCCCUUUAAAAAUCUGCUUCAGGCUCCUUAUUUUUGAAAAAGGGAAGACAGUAAGUCACUAGAGGCCACGACGCUUGGGCAGAGUCUGAAUGCGUUGCCCUGUUAAAUCUCCAGGUGAGAAUUACAACGUUACCUGGUGCUAAAACACCUUAACAGAGGUACUUUCCUCUUUUCCGCAUCCAUCUGAACAUCUCAGCACUUACUUCUGCCUGGCAAAUUCCAGAUCCAUUUUAUGGCUUUGCAGAGCUGCCUCCAUCUGGCCCAUCUCUAACUGAGCAUUCCCAAUGCAGCUGUGGAGGUUUCCAAUCAGUUGAUUCUUGUUGGGAACUUCAUCAUCUGACCACCCUUGUAUUGUUUUUAGCACUCGCUCAGCUUUCUUGCAGCUUUCUUCAGGGCAGUCGCCGGUCAGCACUAGAGCCAAAGAGGAAAGCUUAAUGCUAGUGUGCGGACACAGCGAUGUUGGGGAAGCGAGGUUGUGCAAGCCUCUGACAAAGCUCGGGAAAGGUUAGAGCUCCUAACCCUGUGUCUCCUAUGCUCCUCCCUCCUAUCUCCAGGAAAUCUGCCCCGGGAGAUGGUACUUCUGACCCACCUCCUGGAAGUCACUUUCAUCACAGCAAGUAAGGGGAAAUGACUCUGGUAACACUUCACACUUGCCAAAGGAAAAUAAAGGAGGCUGAUGCUUGCUGUCUGAAGGUUUUGAAAGCAUGUAGUUAUUGCAGCAGGGCGCUCUGGUCGUGGAGAUGAAAUUCUAGCUAGAGUACUUGGGUUUUCAUCUCCUAAAUUAGCCCCUGGCACUUUCCUGGUGAGCCCUGUUCAUCGCGCCCAGCUGGGCUGCGGUGCUGCAGGAUGUUUCUGACACUGCCUUCACUGAGCUCUUGGAGCUUAAAAGAACUGAAUUGCAGUAACGACUAAAUUAUUUUCCCUGGGUUGUAAAAUACGUAGCACAGGAAGAGAGAGACCUGAAGUGGCUGAAAUACUCCAGACCAUUGUUUUUCAGCUGCUUCAUCUCUCUGCAGUGGUAUUUUUGAACUAUAGAAGUGAUUAACUCCAGCAGCCUGCAUUCUCUCAAUACAACAGCUUCUGGUUAUGGGACCAGCCAGAGGCAUUUGCUAAGCGUGCAGCUGCCACCUACCUGGCUUUGAUAUCUAAGUGGUGACCUGAAAACCCAUCAGCAAGACCUCAAGUACAGAAAAAGCUGAGAGAAAAAAGAAGUGUUGGAUUCUGUGUUUAAGAAAGUGUUGGGAAAGGUGAAGAACACAAAAGCAAAUACAUCCCAAAACCUCCCUACUACUGUUUGUUAAUACUUGCUCUGCUCCUAUUGUUCUGGUCUGUAAUUACUGCAGCAAAUAAUUACAUGUGCCAAUCAUCAUUUUCUUACUGCUUCCAGCCAGGACACCUACACAUAUUGAUGUCCUCCAUGCUCUUCACAAUGUAUCUGGCAACCUCAGCUGGUUUUUGUUUCUUGUCCCGGAUCCAUCUUUGCUGCCUGAGCUUGUGCUCUCUCACACGGGCAUAAAUAGGCUUCUGCUGCUGCCAGAAUUCACCGCGCGUGUCCAGGUAGGAAAUGCCACUCAGAACCAGGUCUGCUACUUUGGUCCCCUGCUUUGUGCUGCUCGCCAUCAGAUCUGAAAAGAAGGUGGUAGAACCCAGGUGAGCAUCAGUGUAUGCAGCGGGUGGAGCUGCAGUUCAGUGGGGGAUGCUUGUGAAUGGUUUUCUGCUCUGAUAGAUAGUCCUAGAAAUUAGGGUCUUCAGUGCUCCUCAGAACGGAUGCAGGUAGGGGGGAAGUUGUGGAAACCCCCCUUGCUGUGAGCCAUUCUGUGAGUAGACUAAAUUCUUAAUUACUUCGCUAUUACUGGGUAAAGAGUUCCCUAGAAAAACGACUAAAGGGGAAUCACCUUUCUGCCUAGUUCUACAAUAAGAUACUUCUGAAUCCUGCCUCUCGAUCCUAACAGCAUUUAUAAAGAAACCACAAACGAGUUAGUCUUGUCAGCAAUGCUUUGCACUUAGUGCAAGUGUUAGUGGAAUUUAUUGUUAUGACAGAAGUUAAGUAAUUUUUAAUGAUACUGUUUCUGCUUUUGAUUUCAUCAGCACAGAUUGCGUUGAGUUGAUUUAUUGUUCGUUAUAAAAGCCUGCCAUUUAAUUGGGAAGGAAAUACGCUCAUAGUUAUGGAUAUUAGAUCUGGCUGCAGAAAUACCUGUAGUCUCCAGACACCUGCCUCUCUCAUGACCCCUGCAAGCACUCUGCUGUGUGAGCUCUGCUAUAAAUAAGGAAGAGCAGUCAUAGGAAUAUGAAAAAAAGAAUAAAAAAAAAAGAACCUGCUUAGAAGGGACAUUUAGAUAAAUACAAUGGAGAAAGACCUUUGUCCUUGAGCAGCUUUUCUAGGUAGGCCUUGUCAGCAUAAAGUUCUCCAAGAAGCUCUCGCUCUGUUUUUGGAUUCCUCGCAGGCCCCUCUUUCCUUGUCCAUUUUUGAUCCUUAGUCAGUUUGAUUUGGAGUUUCUGAUUUUCUUUUUUGCUCUACAGCGAGAAAAAAAUAAAAGAAGUUGGGGGAGAUUAGUGGGGAACACUAGAAUUAGCAGAAUUCUGUUUACACUCCAGAUAAGCCAACUUAUUUUUUAAAUAAAAGCAAAAAGUCAGCAUCUCACCAGUUGCUGUGGUCAUGAGCAACUGGUGUUUUGCACCCAAUUGUGCUCCCUCACUUCCAAGAGCAGGAGGGGACAUUACAGUAAGAGCAAGGAUUAGUUCUGCCCCCAUGUCUUGUACGGUUCUGGAGGGCUUCCUGUUCAGUGCUGGGGGAGGACACGAAGGCUGGGGGAAAGGCAGAUCUGGCUGACCACAGUCAAAGAGACGGAGGCUGUAACAGCCAGGACUUUGGAAGUGUCAGGAGGGUGUUUCUAACGUUUCACAUCCAAAAUCCCAACAAUUGCAAUGCUAACCUUUAGGCACCUUUGUAUCAAUUACUUUUACCACUGAGUACCUGUAAUUCCAGCUGAAAGAAGCAAUGAGCGUUCCCUGCACUGACUUCAAGGGGAAAUGUGGCUUGGCAUCUCGGAGGAGCAAGGCACUACUUCAGUGGAGCACCCCAAAAUGAAGCAAUUGAGAAAGUGUCCAUUGUCAAAAAUGCAACCCUUAAACGUCAGGGGGCUCCCAUCUCGGUGCAGAUUUCCUACAGACGUGCUACAUCCCACACGGGAACAGAGGAGGAAAAAGGAUGGCAGGUUCCCCUGAGGGAUCACAGCUGAAGCUUAAAAUGGUAGGAGAGCUCAUAAGCACCAGGAUCUCCAGCAAUCCAGGGAACUAUUUUCAAGUGUUUGUGCACUGACAUUAGGGCAAAACUCCCACUUAAUUUUCACUCUGACAUCCAGUUCUGCUACUCGGAUUGUACUCCGGAGCAGAGGUAAGAGUGAAAACCAGCUUUUUGUUUUGGCCUGGUCAGAAGGAAGGAAAGAGCUUUGCGUGCUGCUGUAAGAAGGAUUUCCUUCAGGUAGGUAACGGGGCCAAGAUCAGCGAUGCGAGCACAGGCGCAGCACGGAAGGCAGGUGUUUCUGAAUCUGCCAGGCGAAGCAGAUUCCGUAAAGCUGUUUUUGGGAUGUGCCCUGUCAAUGUGUGUGCAUUUCCCGGCUACUUCAACAUCUAGAUCAAAUGCUGGCAAGUUUCCUUGCUUCUCCCCUGCAUCUAGGAGCUAUUGUUUGAUUAAAAAAAGUCUUCUGGGUUUUUAAUCUGCUCAUUUGCUUACAGCCCAGAUGCUUGAAGGCAUUUUAAAGCCCUUAGCUCAGUACAUCAAGCGUGGCAAGCGUUUCAGAUGAGAGUUGCAGAUAUCUAGGUAUUUGUAUCAAGCUAAGAAAGCGGCGGUAACGGAGGAAAGCAAGCCAGAUCUGGAAACUUUCCCUGGUUUUGUUUAAAUAAACACCACCUAUGAAAGAGCUUCAGGCUCUUACACAGCCGGGACAUGAAGUUAAUCCGUGGCACUGGAGGUGGACCGAAAUUUUGAAACUGCUGUCAGGGGGAGCGAGGCAGGUACGUAUCUCCGGGAUCGGGGCCUGUGCGUAGGGGUGUGCGGCAGGGUGUGUGAAGGGACAGGCCCCGGGGAUCCACCUGAGCAGCCUCUAACCAGCUGGGCAGGUUCUGCAGCAGCCUGCUGAGCUAGCGCAGGCCGCUCUGUGCACGUGUGGAGGUGGCGGCCGCAGCUGAGGUGUGUCCGUCUGCCUGGGAGGGGGAGCACGUCCUGUCCAUGCUUGUCUGCGUACGGGGGCGUUGCUAAGAGAAACACCGAGGGAAGAGGGACAAGUUUUCCGUUUGCUUUGGACAUCACUGGGUCCUUGGCCUUUCCCGCCUCCUGCAGGACCCCGUUCUAUGAUCUAAGCCAGGAAUUAUGAAAGCAGCGCUCCAUUGCAAUAGUCAACAGUUUCACUGCUCUUAUGCAAUGUUAAUUGGAGAGAAGUCAGGACCUCGGGAAGGCCAGUCUCAGGUAGCACGGCAAAUUUCAUUAUGAACUUCGAAUGUUAGGAUAAGGAGCUCAAAACGGAUUCUGUAAUCGGUAGGGCUGUAAGUAGAUGAGCUGCUCUGUUCUGUGUUACCUAGGACAUUUUCACGGUGACUUUGGAAAUUUAAGUCAGUAUCAUAAUUUACUUACAUAACUGAAGUUAUUAGACACUGUAUAUGAAUUGGCAUUCAGCCAAAAAAAGAAGAAAACCAGAACCGGGCUGUGCUCUUUUUGGUGCCUCCUGGUUCCAUCUGAGAACGGCCACUGAGCACAUGAAUCCAGAAGCAAAGAGACCCUUGUUGCAAGGUCCUUGGUGCACUUGCUGAGCUCAUCUGCCAUCAGCUGUCCACCGAACAGCUUCUGGCUGUGCUUGUAGGGGCCGUGAAAUGAAACAUCUUACUUCCA
Molecule: non-coding RNA, 6921 nt
Organism: Phalacrocorax carbo (great cormorant)
Lineage: Eukaryota; Metazoa; Chordata; Aves; Suliformes; Phalacrocoracidae
Source: RefSeq, a predicted model, not a curated record